Molecule: unclassified non-coding RNA, 358 nt
Filed under: soil metagenome
Description: partial contains 5.8S ribosomal RNA, internal transcribed spacer 2, and large subunit ribosomal RNA
Rfam family: 5.8S ribosomal RNA (bases 1-120)
Source: RNAcentral
GAUGAAGAACGCAGCGAAAUGCGAUAAGUAAUGUGAAUUGCAGAAUUCAGUGAAUCAUCGAAUCUUUGAACGCACAUUGCGCCCGUCAGUAUUCUGGCGGGCAUGCCUGUCCGAGCGUCAUUUCAACCCUCGAACCCCUCCGGGGGGUCGGCGUUGGGGACCUCGGGAGCCCCUAAGACGGGAUCCCGGCCCCGAAAUACAGUGGCGGUCUCGCCGCAGCCUCUCCUGCGCAGUAGUUUGCACAACUCGCACCGGGAGCGCGGCGCGUCCACGUCCGUAAAACACCCAACUUCUGAAAUGUUGACCUCGGAUCAGGUAGGAAUACCCGCUGAACUUAAGCAUAUCAAUAAGCGGAGGA